This 247-nucleotide unclassified non-coding RNA is filed under the name uncultured Pleosporales. RNAcentral describes it as "sequence contains 5.8S rRNA gene, ITS2, 28S rRNA gene". The record is from RNAcentral. Lineage: Eukaryota; Fungi; Ascomycota; Dothideomycetes; Pleosporales.
AACGCACAUUGCGCCCUUUGGUAUUCCAUAGGGCAUGCCUGUUCGAGCGUCGUCUCAAACCUUCAAGCCUAGCUUGGUGUUGGGUGACUGUCCCGCGUGCUCGCGUGGACUCGCCUCAAAUUCAUUGGCAGCGGACAUCGUAGCUAAUUGCGCAGCACAACGCGCCUGACGCUCCCUGUCCGGCUAUCCACGAGCAUAGUCUCACCAGUUUGACCUCGGAUCAGGUAGGGAUACCCGCUGAACUUAA